This 376-nucleotide unclassified non-coding RNA is filed under the name uncultured Actinomycetes bacterium. RNAcentral's name for it is "uncultured actinobacterium contains 16S-23S intergenic spacer region". The record is from RNAcentral. Lineage: Bacteria; Bacillati; Actinomycetota; Actinomycetes.
UCCGGUUUGGCACCGGCAGUCUGACUAGAGUCCCCGACAUUACUCGCUGGCAACUAGUCACAAGGGUUGCGCUCGUUGCGGGACUUAACCCAACAUCUCACGACACGAGCUGACGACAGCCAUGCACCACCUGUUAUGGGCCCUUUCGGACACCGUAUCUCUACGGCUUUUCCCAUAAUGUCAAACCCAGGUAAGGUUCUUCGGGUCGCAUCGAAUUAAGCCGCAUGCUCCGCCGCUUGUGCGGGGACCCGUCAAUUCCUUUGAGUUUCAGCCUUGCGGCCGUACUCCCCAGGCGGGGCACUUAAUGCGUUAGCGCCGGCACCCGGAGGGUCGCUCCCCCGGGCACCUAGUGCCCAUCGUUUACGGCUAGGACUAC